ACUAAAAUGCAUGAAGAGAAAGUUUUGAUUUAUCCCCUCGCAUGUUUCACCCCCCAAAUUCAGGAAUUAGCUGCGAUUGUCCAGAUCGUGAGGAGACCGCCUUCUGUUAUCACAAUGCUCAAUGCUUCCAUGGCUUACAGAGACUCCUCUCACGCUCCAAAUUAGCAGAUUUGUUCUAUUUCCGCAAGAUGAAUGAGGCAGUAUGUAACUGCAUUUUCCUGAAUUUCACUUGGUGAAAAUGAGAUCAAUUGCUCAACUGCUGCUGAAAGGAGAUUGCAGAAUUACUAGUGAAGAUACAUAAAUAGUACAGCCUCUCUUUAAGUGUACUUUGCCUUCACGGGGAGGCACUUAAUUUCGCACAUGGAGCUAGCGGGAGCUGUUUACGUCUUCUAGGCCAAUCUUUUCUGGGCUGAGUAAAGCGCCGAGCUCAGCCGAAAAUUGAUAUCAGGCUAAAAUGCGCAGUGCAAAGAAAGUGGACUCUUGACCAUAGCUGGAGCCUGGAGCUACCCAUUCUCAUUUCCUAAGUUGGACAAGGCAUUGGCUCUGUGUAAUAAAAUCCAUAUCCUUUAUCAUCAAUUAGUUCCACUUUCAUCAACAAAGGGUGAUCUAGUCUUAGGUACCGUCAAUUACAUAUUGUGUUAACUUCGAUCUGGAACUUUAUCUUAAAACAGGGAUAGAAGAUUUCAGAGUUUGGAUAUGCAAAAUUUACUAAGACAUGAAUCCAUAUAUUCCAUAUCUGGAGGGUUGCUGCUAGUUUUCGUUAACGUGUGCUUGUUAAUCUUUUCAAAACUGGAGGGUCCUUGAGAGUUGGCGGGGUUAACUUCAACUUCUACCUGCUCAAGCCAUUAAGCUUCUGGAUUGUCAUCAUUCCAAGCCUCCUGGUGGCAAGGGGUCUCAGUGAUCACACAGAAUGCACCUGUGGAGGUUCUUGUAACCAUAACGGAGCUCGUCUUUUGCUCUCUCCCCUGAAUUAUGGAGCAGCAUGGAAGGCAAAGUUGACUACAGUUUUCCCUAGUUAUUCGGUGCAAGAUUCUCUCACUCCUGCAUGCAUGAUGUUGAAUUCGGAACUCAAUCUAAGAAAAAAAUUUCAUGAUUUGUGUCCAGGCACACCAUUUCCUUUCAGUUAGCAUAUCGGUUCCAGUUGAACUAACGCACUGCUCUGUUUCAAGGAGAAGCUCACCCCCUUACCGAGUAAGCUAUGACAAAACAUCUAGCUUUAAGAUUUUGGGCAAAUACUGGCCGAUUUCAGUUGCCUGAUUCUAUUGGGAAGCUGAAGGAGUUGGAAGUGAUCAAGAUGAGCAGUUGCAACGCCCAUGAGUUACCAAGCUCCAUCGGAAACACGAAGAAGCUUGAAGAGUUGGAUGCUCCGAGUUCUCCGAAAGGAGAAAUCCCAAGGCAAAUUGGGGGAUUGUCCAGGUUGAGAGUAUUGGUGCUAUCGCACACCAAAAUAUGCAUGCUGCCCUCAACAAUAAGAAAGCUUUCUUUGCUCCAAACCCUCUGGAUGUGAUUCACUAAGAAGUUUAGGGCCUCAACUGCCAGUUAGUUUAAAGUACUUGGACAUAGUCUAUUGCGCGUCCCUCAGGAGAGUACACAAUGUAUCGCACUUGAGGAAUCUACGAACGUUAAUAAGAGUACAAGGCCGCAGAGAAGAGAUUCCAGGUCUUGAUGAGAAAGUCUGACAUUGUCCCAUGGGGUGAGCGAGUGUCCGACCCCCAUAUUCAGGAAUUAGUAGCAAUCAUCCAGAUCGUGACUCAUGAGGAGAGCAGAGUCUGCUAUCAUAAUGCCUGCAUGUCCCUCGCUGUUAGUGACUCCUCUCACACUCCGAUAUAGCAGGGCAGUGGACCGUUGGCCAUAGCUGGAGCCUGGAGUUAACCAUUCUAAAAUCCUGCAUUGGACAAGGCAUUGGCUCAGUGUAAUGAAGUCUGCUUCCUUUCUUCUUCAAUAAAUUCUACUUUUAUUGCCAAAAGAUGAUCGAGUCCUAAGUACUGUCCAUUACCGGUCGUGUGAACUUCGAAUUGGAACUUCAUCAUACAAUGGGGAUAGAAGAUUUCAAAGUUUGGAAAUGCAAAAUCUACUAUUAGAAAGUGAAACCAUAUAUUUAUAUUCCACAUCAAGGGUGCUGCUAAUUGUUGACAUCGACGAGGUACAUAUGUAUGCUGGUCAAUCUUUUCUAAACUGAAGGGUCCUUGAGAGUUGUAGCGAUUAACUUCAACUUCUCAGCUUCUGAAUUUUUUUUG
This is a non-coding RNA of Punica granatum (pomegranate), 2237 nucleotides long. NCBI's taxonomy places the organism in Eukaryota, Viridiplantae, Streptophyta, Magnoliopsida, Myrtales, Lythraceae. The record is from RefSeq and is a predicted model, not a curated record.